RNAcentral lists this ribosomal RNA (1397 nucleotides) under Salmonella enterica subsp. enterica serovar Kambole. RNAcentral describes it as "partial 23S ribosomal RNA". It matches the Rfam family "Bacterial large subunit ribosomal RNA", at positions 1292 to 2674 of the family's 2925-position model. The record is from RNAcentral. Lineage: Bacteria; Pseudomonadati; Pseudomonadota; Gammaproteobacteria; Enterobacterales; Enterobacteriaceae.
GAAUGCUGACAUAAGUAACGAUAAAGCGGGUGAAAAGCCCGCUCGCCGGAAGACCAAGGGUUCCUGUCCAACGUUAAUCGGGGCAGGGUGAGUCGACCCCUAAGGCGAGGCCGAAAGGCGUAGUCGAUGGGAAACGGGUUAAUAUUCCCGUACUUGGUGUUACUGCGAAGGGGGGACGGAGAAGGCUAUGUUGGCCGGGCGACGGUUGUCCCGGUUUAAGCGUGUAGGCUGGUUUUCCAGGCAAAUCCGGAAAAUCAAGGCUGAGGCGUGACGACGAGGCACUACGGUGCUGAAGCAACAAAUGCCCUGCUUCCAGGAAAAGCCUCUAAGCAUCAGGUAACAUCAAAUCGUACCCCAAACCGACACAGGUGGUCAGGUAGAGAAUACCAAGGCGCUUGAGAGAACUCGGGUGAAGGAACUAGGCAAAAUGGUGCCGUAACUUCGGGAGAAGGCACGCUGACACGUAGGUGAAGUGAUUUACUCAUGGAGCUGAAGUCAGUCGAAGAUACCAGCUGGCUGCAACUGUUUAUUAAAAACACAGCACUGUGCAAACACGAAAGUGGACGUAUACGGUGUGACGCCUGCCCGGUGCCGGAAGGUUAAUUGAUGGGGUCAGCGCAAGCGAAGCUCCUGAUCGAAGCCCCGGUAAACGGCGGCCGUAACUAUAACGGUCCUAAGGUAGCGAAAUUCCUUGUCGGGUAAGUUCCGACCUGCACGAAUGGCGUAAUGAUGGCCAGGCUGUCUCCACCCGAGACUCAGUGAAAUUGAACUCGCUGUGAAGAUGCAGUGUACCCGCGGCAAGACGGAAAGACCCCGUGAACCUUUACUAUAGCUUGACACUGAACAUUGAGCCUUGAUGUGUAGGAUAGGUGGGAGGCUUUGAAGCGUGGACGCCAGUCUGCGUGGAGCCGGCCUUGAAAUACCACCCUUUAAUGUUUGAUGUUCUAACGUGGACCCGUAAUCCGGGUUGCGGACAGUGUCUGGUGGGUAGUUUGACUGGGGCGGUCUCCUCCUAAAGAGUAACGGAGGAGCACGAAGGUUGGCUAAUCCUGGUCGGACAUCAGGAGGUUAGUGCAAUGGCAUAAGCCAGCUUGACUGCGAGCGUGACGGCGCGAGCAGGUGCGAAAGCAGGUCAUAGUGAUCCGGUGGUUCUGAAUGGAAGGGCCAUCGCUCAACGGAUAAAAGGUACUCCGGGGAUAACAGGCUGAUACCGCCCAAGAGUUCAUAUCGACGGCGGUGUUUGGCACCUCGAUGUCGGCUCAUCACAUCCUGGGGCUGAAGUAGGUCCCAAGGGUAUGGCUGUUCGCCAUUUAAAGUGGUACGCGAGCUGGGUUUAGAACGUCGUGAGACAGUUCGGUCCCUAUCUGCCGUGGGCGCUGGAAGAUUGAGGGGGGCUG